This 253-nucleotide ribosomal RNA is filed under the name uncultured bacterium. RNAcentral's name for it is "partial 16S ribosomal RNA". It matches the Rfam family "Bacterial small subunit ribosomal RNA", at positions 524 to 776 of the family's 1533-position model. The record is from RNAcentral.
UACAGGGGGGGCAAGCGUUGUUCGGAAUUACUGGGCGUAAAGGGUUCGUAGGUGGCCAACUAAGUCAUACGUGAAAUCCCUCAGCUUAACUGGGGAACUGCGUCUGAUACUGGUUGGCUUGAGUGCAGGAGAGGAACGCGGAAUUCCAGGUGUAGCGGUGAAAUGCGUAGAUAUGCGGAGGAACACCGAUGGCGAAGGCAAUCCCCUGGACCUGUACUGACGCUCAUGCACGAAAGCGUGGGGAGCAAACAGG